This 548-nucleotide ribosomal RNA is filed under the name uncultured Gammaproteobacteria bacterium. RNAcentral describes it as "bacterial SSU rRNA". It matches the Rfam family "Bacterial small subunit ribosomal RNA", at positions 355 to 897 of the family's 1533-position model. The record is from RNAcentral. Lineage: Bacteria; Pseudomonadati; Pseudomonadota; Gammaproteobacteria.
UGGGGAAUAUUGGACAAUGGGGGAAACCCUGAUCCAGCGACGCCGCGUGUGAAGAAGGCCUGCGGGUUGUAAAGCACUUUUAGUGGGGAUGAAAAGCCCAGGGAUAACACCUCUGGGUCUUGACCUAACCCACAGAAAAAGCACCGGCUAACUCUGUGCCAGCAGCCGCGGUAAUACAGAGGGUGCAAGCGUUAAUCGGAAUUACUGGGCGUAAAGCGUGCGUGGACGGUUACGUAAGUCGGGUGUGAAAGCCCCGGGCUCAACCCGGGGAUUGCAUUCGAGACUGCGUAGCUAGGGUGCGGAAGAGGGAAGCGGAAUUUCCGGUGUAGCGGUGAAAUGCGUAGAUAUCGGAAGGAACAUCAGUGGCGAAAGCGGCUUCCUGGUCCAGCACCGACGUUCAGGCACGAAAGCGUGGGGAGCAAACAGGAUUAGAUACCCUGGUAGUCCACGCCAUAAACGAUGAGAACUAGACGUUGAGAGGGUAAGCCUCGCAGUGUCGCAGCUAACGCGUUAAGUUCUCCGCCUGGGGAGUACGGCCGCAAGGUUGA